RNAcentral lists this ribosomal RNA (545 nucleotides) under uncultured bacterium. Its description in RNAcentral is "partial 16S ribosomal RNA". It matches the Rfam family "Bacterial small subunit ribosomal RNA", at positions 355 to 891 of the family's 1533-position model. The record is from RNAcentral.
UGGGGAAUUUUGGACAAUGGGGGCAACCCUGAUCCAGCAAUGCCGCGUGUGUGAAGAAGGCCUUCGGGUUGUAAAGCACUUUUGUCCGGAAAGAAAACGUCGUGGUUAAUACCCGUGGCGGCUGACGGUACCGGAAGAAUAAGCACCGGCUAACUACGUGCCAGCAGCCGCGGUAAUACGUAGGGUGCAAGCGUUAAUCGGAAUUACUGGGCGUAAAGCGUGCGCAGGCGGUCCGCUAAGACAGAUGUGAAAUCCCCGGGCUUAACCUGGGAACUGCAUUUGUGACUGGCGGGCUAGAGUAUGGCAGAGGGGGGUAGAAUUCCACGUGUAGCAGUGAAAUGCGUAGAGAUGUGGAGGAAUACCGAUGGCGAAGGCAGCCCCCUGGGCCAAUACUGACGCUCAUGCACGAAAGCGUGGGGAGCAAAUAGGAUUCAGAUACCCUGGUAGUCCACGCCCUAAACGAUGUNAACUAGUUGUUGGGGAUUCAUUCCUUAGGUAACGUAGCUAACGCGUGAAGUUGACCGCCUGGGGAGUACGGUGCGCAA